RNAcentral lists this ribosomal RNA (253 nucleotides) under uncultured bacterium. RNAcentral describes it as "partial 16S ribosomal RNA". It matches the Rfam family "Bacterial small subunit ribosomal RNA", at positions 524 to 776 of the family's 1533-position model. The record is from RNAcentral.
UACAGAGGGUGCGAGCGUUAAUCGGAAUUACUGGGCGUAAAGCGUGCGUAGACGGUUUUGUAAGUCGGAUGUGAAAUCCCCGGGCUCAACCUGGGAAUUGCAUUCGAGACUGCAAGGCUUGGGUGCGGAAGAGGGAAGCGGAAUUUCCGGUGUAGCGGUGAAAUGCGCAGAUAUCAGGAGGAACACCGGUGGCGAAGGCGGUUCUCUGGGCCUGUUCUGACGCUGAGGAGCGAAAGCGUGGGGAGCAAACAGG